UCAGCUCGUGUCGUGAGAUGUUGGGUUAAGUCCCGUAACGAGCGCAACCCUUGUCCUUAGUUACCAGCACCUCGGGUGGGCACUCUAAGGAGACUGCCGGUGACAAACCGGAGGAAGGUGGGGAUGACGUCAAGUCAUCAUGGCCCUUACGGCCAGGGCUACACACGUGCUACAAUGGUCGGUACAAAGGGUUGCCAAGCCGCGAGGUGGAGCUAAUCCCAUAAAACCGAUCGUAGUCCGGAUCGCAGUCUGCAACUCGACUGCGUGAAGUCGGAAUCGCUAGUAAUCGUGAAUCAGAAUGUCACGGUGAAUACGUUCCCGGGCCUUGUACACACCGCCCGUCACACCAUGGGAGUGGGUUGCUCCAGAAGUAGCUAGUCUAACCGCAAGGGGGACGGUUACCACGGAGUGAUUCAUGACUGGGGUGAAGUCUAAAAGGGGAACCCAAAA
RNAcentral lists this ribosomal RNA (450 nucleotides) under Pseudomonas aeruginosa. Its description in RNAcentral is "bacterial SSU rRNA". It matches the Rfam family "Bacterial small subunit ribosomal RNA", at positions 1055 to 1506 of the family's 1533-position model. The record is from RNAcentral. Lineage: Bacteria; Pseudomonadati; Pseudomonadota; Gammaproteobacteria; Pseudomonadales; Pseudomonadaceae.